Molecule: ribosomal RNA, 497 nt
Filed under: uncultured bacterium
Lineage: Bacteria
Description: partial 16S ribosomal RNA
Rfam family: Bacterial small subunit ribosomal RNA
Source: RNAcentral
GAUGAACGCUGGCGGCGUGCUUAAUACAUGCAAGUCGAACGAAAAGAUGAGGAUUUUACUCCACUCACGUUAGGGGCGGGCGGGUGAGUCACAGGUGGAUAACCUACCUCUAAGACUGAGAUAAGUGCGAGAAAGCGGAGCUAAGACCGGGUAAUAUUUUUAGCGGGAUGGUUCAAUAGUGAAAGAGGGGUUUGAUGUGACUUAGAGAUGUAUCCGUGCCGCAUGGGUAAGUUGGUAAGGUAACGGCUUCGCAAGGCAGCAAUGCGUGGCCGAACUGAGAGGGUGAUGCGCCACUCUGGAACUGGAACACGGCCCAGACUCUUACGGGAGGCAGCAGUACGGACUCGUCGGCAAUGGGCGAAAUCCUGACGGAGCAGCGCCGCGUUGGUGAUGAAGGUCUUCGUAGCGUAAAACUCUGUUAUUGGGGAAGAACAAUUGUGUAAGUAACUAUGCACGUCUUGACGGUACCUAGUCAGAAAGCCACGGCUAACUACGUG